Molecule: ribosomal RNA, 462 nt
Filed under: uncultured bacterium
Lineage: Bacteria
Description: partial 16S ribosomal RNA
Rfam family: Bacterial small subunit ribosomal RNA
Source: RNAcentral
GACGAACGCUGGCGGCGUGCUUAACACAUGCAAGUCGAGCGGAAAGGCCCUUCGGGGUACUCGAGCGGCGAACGGGAGAGUAACACGUGAGUAACCUGCCCCAGACUUUGGGAUAACCCUCGGAAACGGGGGCUAAUACCGGAUACGACACAGCUUCGCAUGGGGUCUGUGUGGAAAGUUUUUCGGUUUGGGAUGGGCUCGCGGCCUAUCAGCUUGUUGGUGGGGUGAUGGCCUACCAAGGCGACGACGGGUAGCCGGCCUGAGAGGGCGACCGGCCACACUGGGACUGAGACACGGCCCAGACUCCUACGGGAGGCAGCAGUGGGGAAUAUUGCACAAUGGGCGGAAGCCUGAUGCAGCGACGCCGCGUGAGGGAUGACGGCCUUCGGGUUGUAAACCUCUUUCAGCAGGGACGAAGCGUAAGUGACGGUACCUGCAGAAGAAGCGCCGGCCAACUACGUG